UGAGUACGAGCUGCUACGGCAGCGAAGUGGGUGAUGUCAAGCUUCCAAGAAAAGCCCUAUACCCGUUAAGGCAUGACGGCCUGUACCCGAAACCGACACAGGUGGGGUGGUAGAGAAUACCGAGGGGCGCGAGAUAACUCUCUCUAAGGAACUCGGCAAAAUGGCCCCGUAACUUCGGGAGAAGGGGUGCCACCGCAAGGUGGUCGCAGUGAAGAGGCCCAGGCGACUGUUUACCAAAAACACAGGUCUCCGCUAAGUCGCAAGACGAUGUAUGGGGGCUGACGCCUGCCCAGUGCCGGAAGGUUAAGGAAGCUGGUCAGCGCAAGCGAAGCUAGCGACUGAAGCCCCGGUGGACGGCGGCCGUAACUAUAACGGUCCUAAGGUAGCGAAAUUCCUUGUCGGGUAAGUUCCGACCCGCACGAAAGGCGUAACGAUCUGGGCGCUGUCUCGGAGAGAGGCUCGGCGAAAUAGAAUUGUCUGUGAAGAUGCGGACUACGUGCACCCGGACAGAAAGACCCUAUGAAGCUUUACUGUAGCUCGGUAUUGUGCCCGGGCUCUGAAUGCGCAGGAUAGGUGGGAGGCUUUGAUCCAUUGCUUGUGGGUAAUGGUGAGCCACUGGUGAGAUACCACUCCUUCAGAGCUAGGGUUCUAACGGUCACCCGUUAUCCGGGGACCGGACAGUAUCAGGUGGGCAGUUUGACUGGGGCGGUCGCCUCCUAAAAGGUAACGGAGGCGCGCAAAGGUUCCCUCAGGCUGGUUGGAAAUCAGCCGACGAGUGUAAAGGCAGAAGGGAGCUUGACUGUGAGACCUACAAGUCGAACAGGGACGAAAGUCGGCCUUAGUGAUCCGACGGUUCUGAGUGGAAGGGCCGUCGCUCAACGGAUAAAAGUUACUCUAGGAUAACAGGCUGAUCUCCCCCAAGAGUUCACAUCGACGGGGAGGUUUGGCACCUCGAUGUCGGCUCAUCGCAACCUGGGGCUGAAGUCGGUCCCAAGGGUUGGGCUGUUCGCCCAUUAAAGCGGUACGCGAGCUGGGUUCAGAACGUCGUAAGACAGUUCGGUCCAUAUCCGGUGCACGCGCAGGAUCAUUGAGAGGAUUUCUCCCUAGUACGAGAGGACCGGGAGGAACGCACCUCUGGUGUACCAGUUAUCGUGCUAACGGUAAACGCUGGGUAGCCAUGUGCGGAGCGGAUAACCGCUGAAAGCAUCUAAGUGGGAAGCCCACCUCAAGAUGAGUGUUCCCAUGGCAUAAGCCAGUAAGGUCACGGGAAGAACACCCGUUGAUAGGCUCUGCGUGGAAGCGUGGCGACACGUGAAGCGGAGGAGUACUAAUAGACCGAGGGCUUGACC
This 1349-nucleotide ribosomal RNA is filed under the name metagenome. RNAcentral describes it as "bacterial LSU rRNA". It matches the Rfam family "Bacterial large subunit ribosomal RNA", at positions 1564 to 2925 of the family's 2925-position model. The record is from RNAcentral.